Molecule: ribosomal RNA, 253 nt
Filed under: uncultured bacterium
Lineage: Bacteria
Description: partial 16S ribosomal RNA
Rfam family: Bacterial small subunit ribosomal RNA
Source: RNAcentral
UACGUAGGUGGCAAGCGUUGUCCGGAUUUACUGGGUGUAAAGGGCGUGCAGCCGGGAAGACAAGUCAGAUGUGAAAUCCCGCGGCUCAACCGCGGAACUGCAUUUGAAACUGUUUUUCUUGAGUACCGGAGAGGUCAUCGGAAUUCCUUGCGUAGCGGUGAAAUGCGUAGAUAUAAGGAAGAACACCAGUGGCGAAGGCGGAUGACUGGACGGCAACUGACGGUGAGGCGCGAAAGCGUGGGGAGCAAACAGG